AAUAAGUGCAGUUUUACACUAUCACAUUCAACGUUUGACCAUUCAUCUUAUUUAAUUUUUUUUAUGAUUACUAUUUUUAUUGCUAUUAGAUGAUAAAACGUGAAUAGUACUUUAUGUGUGACUAAAUAUUUUCAAAAUUUUCAUAAAUUUUUUAAAUAAGACGGACGAUCAAACGUUGGGCACGAAUAUCUACGGCUGCACUUAUU
RNAcentral lists this microRNA precursor (206 nucleotides) under Oryza sativa Japonica Group (Japanese rice). RNAcentral describes it as "MIR812 microRNA precursor family". It matches the Rfam family "MIR812 microRNA precursor family". Lineage: Eukaryota; Viridiplantae; Streptophyta; Magnoliopsida; Poales; Poaceae. The record is from Rfam by way of RNAcentral.